Molecule: transfer RNA, 88 nt
Filed under: Gammaproteobacteria bacterium
Lineage: Bacteria; Pseudomonadati; Pseudomonadota; Gammaproteobacteria
Also listed under: 1 other name
Description: tRNA-Ser
Rfam family: tRNA
About the family: Transfer RNA (tRNA) molecules are approximately 80 nucleotides in length. Their secondary structure includes four short double-helical elements and three loops (D, anti-codon, and T loops). Further hydrogen bonds mediate the characteristic L-shaped molecular structure. tRNAs have two regions of fundamental functional importance: the anti-codon, which is responsible for specific mRNA codon recognition, and the 3' end, to which the tRNAs corresponding amino acid is attached (by aminoacyl-tRNA synthetases). tRNAs cope with the degeneracy of the genetic code in two manners: having more than one tRNA (with a specific anti-codon) for a particular amino acid; and 'wobble' base-pairing, i.e. permitting non-standard base-pairing at the 3rd anti-codon position.
Source: RNAcentral
GGAGAGGUGCGAGAGUGGUUGAAUCGGGCGGUCUCGAAAACCGUUGUACCGCAAGGUACCGUGGGUUCGAAUCCCACCCUCUCCGCCA